UGCUUGACGACCAUAGAGCGUUGGAACCACCUGAUCCCAUCCCGAACUCAGUAGUGAAACGACGCAUCGCCGAUGGUAGUGUGGUGCUUCACCAUGUGAGAGUAGGUCAUCGUCAAGCUC
Molecule: ribosomal RNA, 120 nt
Filed under: Ectopseudomonas mendocina
Lineage: Bacteria; Pseudomonadati; Pseudomonadota; Gammaproteobacteria; Pseudomonadales; Pseudomonadaceae
Also listed under: 1 other name
Source: RNAcentral